This 579-nucleotide long non-coding RNA is filed under the name Medicago truncatula (barrel medic). RNAcentral describes it as "lncRNA gene11499". The record is from RNAcentral. Lineage: Eukaryota; Viridiplantae; Streptophyta; Magnoliopsida; Fabales; Fabaceae.
CACACUCCAUUUAUUCAUUUCUCCUCCAUAAACUCCCCUCAUCAGCCUCCUGUUCCUUAUAUCCUUCACUUCUUCUUUCUUCAAUUUUCUUUCAAAUCAUGAAAUCUAUUCAACAAAUCAAGCACCCAUAAAGAAAAUUAUACAUCUAAGCUAAGCUAUUUCAAAGUACAAGUGAGAUUUGGAUAGAAUUUUGGGAUUAAGGUUAUUGCUUCAUGGAAGGAGAAGAGUACUCAUCAUUUGAAAUUGAAAAGAAAAUUUGGUCGAUUGGGCAUAGCUAUUUCCAAGCAGCGAAGUAGAAAGCUGCUAGUAGAUUCGAAGUUCAGCUGUGUCACUCGUUUUGGUAGGCUUCUUUGGUGGAUGUCUCUAUUGUUUAUGCAUAUGUUGAGUCGAAGAAUCUGCAACUAUUUGGUAGUCUAGGAUGUUUUAUUCUGAGUUGUACAAGUAUGUAAAAAUGUUAUUUGAGAUACUGGCUGAUGAAAAAAAUUUCAUAUCUUGGAAAUGCUGAAUUUACAGAGGAAACGUCGAAAUUUCAAUAAAUAGUUUUUUUUGGAAGUGAAAACUGAAUUGGAAUUGUUUUUA